AGGGAACAGAGCCGUGAGAGGAGAAUGGAAAGCAGGAUAGGAAAGUCAUGGGGGUUUUUCCACGUAAACAAGAGAGGCUGCAGGUUGACAAAGCUCCUUACUCUAAUACACUCACCCAGGUCUAUGACAAAAGAGUACACCUGCCAAAAGAUAGAGACGGGAGGAGAUCUCUGCAGAAUGAUGGAAGAUCUCCAAACCCAGAAGGCUGGCCAGGAGUAAGAAGACUGAGCAGGGGUGCCUCUGUUGUCCCAGGCAGCAUAAGAUUUCUGGAAGCUACAGUACAAUUCUUGCCUGGAGCCAUCCUGCUGCUUCAGGGCAGGCUUUGAUUCCUGACUCAUUUGACUGAAAUCCUCUAUGCUGCCCUGUAGACUAUCCAGACACCACAUCCCAAUUAAAUCUGCAUUUAAAUUGAAUCUGC
RNAcentral lists this long non-coding RNA (418 nucleotides) under Equus caballus (horse). RNAcentral describes it as "lncRNA (ENSECAG00000049337.1)". The record is from RNAcentral. Lineage: Eukaryota; Metazoa; Chordata; Mammalia; Perissodactyla; Equidae.